CCUUUUCUGCUGCUUUCAGAACAAUGUGAAAAUCUGCACUGUUCUCACCUUCUAUCAAAGGAAAUGAGAGAAUUACAGAGACCAAAGGUAUCUAUCAAGUGACUCAACACCAGAAUGAAUCAACCUUUUAUGACUUAGCCAUGGAUGCAAAAGGUGUCCUCAAAAGAGGGUGCAAAAAGAUGCAGCCCUCUCAAGAUCCAAAACCACUCCUAAGAGCCAGAAGAAAUACAGGUCAAGAUUUGAAUCAGAAUCAAAUUUGGAAGGUCGAUGUUCAAAGGUUACUGCUUUAACCUGUAAAGUGUCAAGAAAACCUGGACAAUUGCAUAGAGAGGGGCAAAAAUUAAGUCAAGAUUGGUUAAAAAAACUUGCAUGUAUAAUGCGACAUUGUGGCUGAGAAUUUAAACUCAUAAAA
Pan troglodytes (chimpanzee) is the source of this 412-nucleotide long non-coding RNA. RefSeq lists it as uncharacterized. Lineage: Eukaryota; Metazoa; Chordata; Mammalia; Primates; Hominidae. The transcript has 3 exons. The record is from RefSeq and is a predicted model, not a curated record.